Molecule: ribosomal RNA, 913 nt
Filed under: uncultured bacterium
Lineage: Bacteria
Description: bacterial SSU rRNA
Rfam family: Bacterial small subunit ribosomal RNA
Source: RNAcentral
AGAGUUUGAUCCUGGCUCAGAUUGAACGCUGGCGGCAGGCCUAACACAUGCAAGUCGAGCGGUAGAGAGGAGCUUGCUUCUCUUGAGAGCGGCGGACGGGUGAGUAAUGCCUAGGAAUCUGCCUAGUGGUGGGGGAUAACGUUCGGAAACGGACGCUAAUACCGCAUACGUCCUACGGGAGAAAGCGGGGGACCUUCGGGCCUCGCGCCAUUAGAUGAGCCUAGGUCGGAUUAGCUAGUUGGUGAGGUAACGGCUCACCAAGGCGACGAUCCGUAACUGGUCUGAGAGGAUGAUCAGUCACACUGGAACUGAGACACGGUCCAGACUCCUACGGGAGGCAGCAGUGGGGAAUAUUGGACAAUGGGCGCAAGCCUGAUCCAGCCAUGCCGCGUGUGUGAAGAAGGUCUUCGGAUUGUAAAGCACUUUAAGUUGGGAGGAAGGGCAGUAAGCGAAUACCUUGCUGUUUUGACGUUACCGACAGAAUAAGCACCGGCUAACUCUGUGCCAGCAGCCGCGGUAAUACAGAGGGUGCAAGCGUUAAUCGGAAUUACUGGGCGUAAAGCGCGCGUAGGUGGUUGGUUAAGUUGGAUGUGAAAGCCCCGGGCUCAACCUGGGAACUGCAUCCAAAACUGGCCGACUAGAGUACAGUAGAGGGUGGUGGAAUUUCCUGUGUAGCGGUGAAAUGCGUAGAUAUAGGAAGGAACACCAGUGGCGAAGGCGACCACCUGGACUGAUACUGACACUGAGGUGCGAAAGCGUGGGGAGCAAACAGGAUUAGAUACCCUGGUAGUCCACGCCGUAAACGAUGUCAACUAGCCGUUGGGAGUCUUGAACUCUUAGUGGCGCAGCUAACGCAUUAAGUUGACCGCCUGGGGAGUACGGCCGCAAGGUUAAAACUCAAAGGAAUUGACGG